UUGAUUUUUAAAGCAAACCGAGCUUUUUUUUAAAAGUAAGGUUUUGCGAAUAUAUUUAAAACCCCACUCUUUUAAAUAAAAUUUUUCAUUCAUAUAUUAUGAAAAUUAAAAGA
This 113-nucleotide unclassified non-coding RNA is filed under the name uncultured Glomeromycotina. Its description in RNAcentral is "sequence contains ITS1". The record is from RNAcentral. Lineage: Eukaryota; Fungi; Glomeromycota.